Molecule: ribosomal RNA, 255 nt
Filed under: uncultured bacterium
Lineage: Bacteria
Description: partial 16S ribosomal RNA
Rfam family: Bacterial small subunit ribosomal RNA
Source: RNAcentral
GACGAAGGAUGCAAGCGUUAUCCGGAUUCAUUGGGUUUAAAGGGAGCGUAGGUGGCCUUAUAAGUCAGUGGUGAAAUCUCUGGGCUUAACCCAGAAAUUGCCAUUGAUACUGUAGGGCUUGAGUAUAGUUGCCGUUGGCGGAAUAUGACAUGUAGUGGUGAAAUACAUAGAGAUGUCAUAGAACACCGAUUGCGAAGGCAGCUGACGAAACUAUAACUGACACUGAGGCUCGGAAAGUGAUGGGGAUCAAACAGG